Molecule: ribosomal RNA, 399 nt
Filed under: uncultured bacterium
Lineage: Bacteria
Description: bacterial SSU rRNA
Rfam family: Bacterial small subunit ribosomal RNA
Source: RNAcentral
AAGUCGUACGGAGAGUGGGGCAACUCACUCUCAGUGGCAAACGGGUGAGUAACGCGUGAAUAACCUGCCUUUGAGAAGGGGAUAACUGUCCGAAAGGAUAGCUAAUACCCUAUAUUGCCUUUUGUCACUAAGGCAAAAGGUGAAAGCAAGGCUGUCAAAGGCUUCGGCUCAAAGAGGGGUUCGCGUCCUAUCAGGUAGUUGGUGGGGUAAUGGCCUACCAAGCCAAUGACGGGUAGCUGGUCUUAGAGGAUGAUCAGCCACAGUGGGACUGAGACACGGCCCGCACCCCUACGGGGGGCAGCAGUGGGGAAUCGUGGGCAAUGGGCGCAAGCCUGACCCCGCAAUGCCGCGUGAGGGAAGAAGCCCUUCGGGGUGUAAACCUCUGUCAGAUGGAAAGAU